Molecule: long non-coding RNA, 353 nt
Organism: Peromyscus eremicus (cactus mouse)
Lineage: Eukaryota; Metazoa; Chordata; Mammalia; Rodentia; Cricetidae
Exons: 2
Source: RefSeq, a predicted model, not a curated record
AGUUCUUGGUCUCUCUGGCCAGCCAGUCUAGCCAAACCCCUAAGCCCCAGGUUCAACAAAAGAACUUGAUCAAAAACAAGGUGAUGAAGAGAUUGAGGAAGACAUGGUGGCAACCUUUCAUCUCCACAGGCACCUCUCCACAGGUUAUGGAAAAACACAUGAAAUGCAUAUUCCACCUUGUAGCUGGCAAUACUUGGACUCUUGAAACUUUGGCAUUAUAUUUAACUACACUUAGGAACAAAUAAAUACUGGAUAAAAUUCUGAUGAAGAAAACUAGAAUCAGAUUCUGAAAUUUUAGCCUCAUGGAAACUUGAAAUAGUAAAAACAAUAAAAAAAAGAAUCUUGCGAUGUCA